RNAcentral lists this long non-coding RNA (245 nucleotides) under Daucus carota (carrot). Its description in RNAcentral is "long non-coding RNA (DCAR_LNC000914)". The record is from RNAcentral. Lineage: Eukaryota; Viridiplantae; Streptophyta; Magnoliopsida; Apiales; Apiaceae.
UCUUUUUUUUAGAAAGGCAUAUUCAUCCCUUAACUCCCCCAAACUUAAGAUUUACAAACUCUAAGUUCAAAAAGGGAAUACUCCAAACUCUACGCCCGACUCAACGCGAGGACUCAAGAAAUAAGUUAGUCUAAGUCUUAUCUCUAGAGCAUAAGUGUAAUUACAAUUUUCACACAAGCAGUUUCCAAGUAACAAGGCAUCACAUAUGAUAAAGACUACUAGCCAAGAAAUUAUGCACAUAAACU